UAUAACAAUUCUGCUUUCAUUCAUAUAAUUACAGUACAGGUUAUGAUUUAUGUGAUCAUUCUGGCUGGUGAUUUUGGGUUUACAGGUAAGAAAAUGUAAAACAUCUACUCAUUGUACCA
Long non-coding RNA from Alosa sapidissima (American shad), 119 nucleotides. RefSeq lists it as uncharacterized. NCBI's taxonomy places the organism in Eukaryota, Metazoa, Chordata, Actinopteri, Clupeiformes, Clupeidae. The record is from RefSeq and is a predicted model, not a curated record. The transcript has 5 exons.